AGCAGUCGCCACGGGAAUACGUAGGUGGCAAGCGUUGUCCGGAAUUAUUGGGCGUAAAGCGCGCGCAGGCGGAUCAGUUAGUCUGUCUUAAAAGUUCGGGGCUUAACCCCGUGAUGGGAUGGAAACUGCUGAUCUAGAGUAUCGGAGAGGAAAGUGGAAUUCCUAGUGUAGCGGUGAAAUGCGUAGAUAUUAGGAAGAACACCAGUGGCGAAGGCGACUUUCUGGACGAAAACUGACGCUGAGGCGCGAAAGCCAGGGGAGCGAACGGGAUUAGAUACCCCCGUAGUCCCUGUCUCUUAUACC
This 303-nucleotide ribosomal RNA is filed under the name uncultured bacterium. RNAcentral describes it as "partial 16S ribosomal RNA". It matches the Rfam family "Bacterial small subunit ribosomal RNA", at positions 507 to 808 of the family's 1533-position model. The record is from RNAcentral.